UAAGAGGUGCAAACCUCAAAAACAAAAAUGAGCUCAAUUCAUAUAGAAUUAAACUCUUAAAUAACAUAAAAAGUAAAAAGUAAAAACAAAGAGAAAAAUAAACAAAAAGUAAGUAAAAGAAAAAGAAAAAGGAAAAAAAGAAAAAUAAUGUUGUAUGUUAUGCAGGCAGCGUCCCGCCCAACCUCUCCUCACAUGUUCCUCCCUUUUUGAAAUUUCCCAAUAUGGAAAAACAUGUGUUAACACAUGGAAUGCAUCAACAAAAUAAAAAUAAC
This 272-nucleotide long non-coding RNA is filed under the name Lathyrus oleraceus (garden pea). RNAcentral describes it as "Pisum sativum (pea) long non-coding RNA (PSAT_LNC002496)". The record is from RNAcentral. Lineage: Eukaryota; Viridiplantae; Streptophyta; Magnoliopsida; Fabales; Fabaceae.